UCUUGGCCACCUGAUCUGCAUGUGUGGCGCGACAAGGCGAUUAAUUGGCGGCCAGAGACUAUAAAAUCUGUGACAUAAUCGCGAUGGGACUCAGUUGAGGUGUUAAUUUCGCCAACAACGGAUCUCUUUAGCUCGCGCGCUCCGCCCAAAGAAAAACAAACCGUGUUGUUCGCAAGUGUUUGUCUAAGUUACACAGGUGAAUCUUUGCACAGAAAAGCAAGAGCAAAAGUUACAUUUCCGACAAUGAAGACGCCACUUGUGCUCCUGGCCCUGGGGGCGAUCCUAGUGCUCUCGCCUGGCGUGCUAGGUAGGCAAACCGUUUACACGGAUAACUAUGGCAAUUCCUACUAUCGAUACCAUGACCCGUACACGUACUACAACCCAUACACCUGGCGGCAGCAGCGCGUGAUCAACCGCGGAUCCUUCGAUCAGGACCUCAAUGCGCAGGGAUGCUCGAGGAACCCUUGUGGCGUGGGCGCUCAGUGCCAGGAAGCGGCUGGCGGCCGUCCAGUCUGCUCCUGUCCCGCCGGCUACAGUGGCAAUCCGCUGACGCAGUGCGUUCGCCUAGGCUGCAUUGAGCACAGCGAAUGUGGACUCCAUCAAGUGUGUCGAUCAGGAAGUUGCGUGAAUCCUUGCGCAGGAACUUGCGGCACAAAUGCCCAUUGCGAGGUGCGCAACCACGUGCCGGUGUGCAGCUGUCCGGCAGGAUACAAGGGCGAUCCCUUCAGCUACUGUCGCCAGAUGGAUCCAGCCGAGCUGUGCCAUCCGUCGCCGUGCGGCGUGAACACGCGCUGCGACGUGAUCGGCGGCACGCCGACGUGCACGUGCCAGGCGGGCUUCUUCGGCAACCCGUUGACGGGCUGCCGGCACGAGUGCGAGCAGGACGGCCACUGCGCCAACCAGGAGUACUGCCACGAGUUCAAGUGCGUGUCGGCGUGCAAGCAGUGCGGCCAGGGCGCCGCGUGCUCGCGCUCCACGAACCACCGCGCCGUGUGCGAGUGCCCCGCCGGCUACAUCGGCAGCCCGUACACGGAGUGCCGGCCCGAGUGCCUCGGCGACCGCGACUGCCCGUCCGGCCGGCCGGCGUGCAUCUACGGCAUCUGCAAGAACCCGUGCGAGGGCGCGUGCGGCGUGAACGCCGACUGCAACCUGCGCGGCCUCACGCCCAUCUGCAGCUGUCCGCGCGACAUGACCGGCGACCCCUUCGUCUCCUGCCGCCCCUUCACCAAGGAGGACCUCUGCAACCCCAACCCGUGCGGCCAGAACGCCCAGUGCACGCCCGGCUACGACAACACCAACCGCGAGCGCCCCGUCUGCACCUGCCUGCCCGGCUACACCGGCAACGCGCUCACCUACUGCUCCCGGGGCGAGUGCCAGGCGGACAGCGAGUGUCCUGACCACCGCGCGUGCAUCGCUCUGCAGUGCGUGGAUCCGUGCGUGAACCAGUGCGGCGUGGGCGCCGAUUGUCACGCCAAGCGUCACGUGGCCGUGUGCACGUGUCCCGCUGGCUUCACGGGCGACGCUCUCGUGUCCUGUCGCCAAUCACGCAGCUAUCCAGUGGCGCGCUACUACAAGAAGCGCGAGACGAAGGCCGACGAGGCGCCCAAGAAGGCCGAAGAGCCGGAAAAGGCCGAGAAGAAGGCCUAAAAUACUCACGAAGAACGACAAUUUCGCAAGUACGAAAAGAGAUUUUUGGGAUUUGCAAAUCUACACGGCGAAAAAUGAACCCAAUUCAAAUAGCUCUAACUAAUUAUGCGACGACACAAAAUCAUGCUGGCAAAUAUUGCAUAAAAAUUUGAUUAAAAAAACAA
Phlebotomus argentipes is the source of this 1811-nucleotide RNA transcript. It is a transcript of the gene named neurogenic locus notch homolog protein 3, with no coding region annotated. NCBI's taxonomy places the organism in Eukaryota, Metazoa, Arthropoda, Insecta, Diptera, Psychodidae. The record is from RefSeq and is a predicted model, not a curated record. The transcript has 7 exons.